Molecule: ribosomal RNA, 273 nt
Filed under: uncultured bacterium
Lineage: Bacteria
Description: partial 16S ribosomal RNA
Rfam family: Bacterial small subunit ribosomal RNA
Source: RNAcentral
GACGUAGGGAGCGAGCGUUGUCCGGAUUCAUUGGGCGUAAAGCGCGCGUAGGCGGCCACGCAAGUCGGUUGUGAAAUCCCGGGGCUCAACCCCGGGACUGCGUCCGAUACUGCAUGGCUCGAGGCAGGUAGGGGAGAUCGGAAUUCCUGGUGUAGCGGUGAAAUGCGCAGAUAUCAGGAGGAACACCGGUGGCGAAGGCGGAUCUCUGGGCCUGUCCUGACGCUGAGGCGCGAAAGCUAGGGGAGCGAACAGGAUUAGAAACCCCCGUAGUCC